ACCCCAAAUCGAGGCCAGCCAGGGGCACCGCCACCAUCACUUCACCGCCGCCGUCGACUUCACUCUCUCUCACUCCCAAACCAAGCUACCUUCCGCCCAUGGGCCCACCGCCGCGCCGCCGCCAACUCCUGCUGUCUCUCGCGCUGCCCGCGCGUGGAGCGGAUCGUGUCGGACGCCGUCGCCGCCAAGCAGCGCGCCAACCCGUCCACGGCGGCGGGCACGCUGCGGCGCCGGAGCGCGCCGCGGAGAUCAACCUCUCCCUGCCCGGGGACGCCUUCGACGCCGUGGCCCGCGCCAAGGCGGCGCUGGAGGCCGAGUGCCCGGGCGUCGUCUCCUGCGCCGACGCGCUGGCGCUGGCGGCGCGCGACCUCGUGGCCGCCCUGGGCGGGCCCCGGUUCCCCGUCGCGCUGGGCCGCCGCGACUCCCGCCGCUCCGACGCGCGCGACGUCGAGGGCAACCUGCCCCGCACCAACAUGUCGGCGCGAGCCAUGGUGCGCCUCUUCGCCCGCAAGGGCCUCUCGCCCCGGGAGAUGGUGGCGCUGGCCGGCGCCCACACCGUCGGCUUCUCCCACUGCGCCGACCACGACCCGCGGCUCAACCCGGAGUUCGCGCGCGCGCUGCAGCGCUCCUGCGCGGGAUACCGCACCGACCCCACCGUCUCCAUCUUCAACGACAUCGUCACGCCCCGGGACUUCGACGAGACCUACUACAAGAACCUGCCCCACGGCCUCGGCCUGCUCGCCUCCGACGCCGCCAUCUGGGAGUACCCGCCCACCAGGGUCUUCGCCCAGCGCUACGCCGCCAACCGCACCGCCUUCUUCGAGGACUUCGCCGCCGCGAUGCAGAGGCUCGGCGCCGUCGGCGUCAAGACGGGGCGCCAGGGCGUCGUCAGGCGCCGCUGCGACGCGCUCGACUGAGUGUCGCGAUGCUUGUUGUGCCAUUGGGUCGGUCGAUCGUUGUAAGGCUUCGAAUUCGAUUACGGGAUAUGAGAGGCUCUUCUUUCUCUGUACUUGGAAAAUGGGGCGUGAGUGGUAACUAAAGUGAUGAACUGAGGGCAAGCUAAUUCUAAAUUGCAUGUCAAUUGCAAUAGGGUUACAUUAAGACUCAGGCUGGGCAACCGUGGAUGACAAUUGCUGAAACCUCACACCAUGAGAUGAUGAGACUAGAGAUGUUAAUGGCCCUGAUUCCUCACGGGAAAAUUCUUAGAAACACAUGGAUGUAAACGUAGAAAAAAAUCUCCCCCAACAGAUAAACGGAGACAAAAAAAACAUUCUCCUGUUUCCUGCGGGGACAUAAUAAACUUACAUAUAACGAU
Molecule: unclassified non-coding RNA, 1315 nt
Filed under: Zea mays
Lineage: Eukaryota; Viridiplantae; Streptophyta; Magnoliopsida; Poales; Poaceae
Description: misc RNA Zm00001eb080430
Source: RNAcentral